GCGUUCUGAUCCAAAGCAAAGCUGAAAGGCCCUCGCGCAAUUGCGCGAGGGCCUUUUUUAUGACGG
RNAcentral lists this small RNA (66 nucleotides) under Paenibacillus sp. P22. Its description in RNAcentral is "ctRNA". The record is from RNAcentral. Lineage: Bacteria; Bacillati; Bacillota; Bacilli; Caryophanales; Paenibacillaceae.